Molecule: long non-coding RNA, 1927 nt
Organism: Bactrocera neohumeralis
Lineage: Eukaryota; Metazoa; Arthropoda; Insecta; Diptera; Tephritidae
Exons: 3
Source: RefSeq, a predicted model, not a curated record
UAGUGACGCGUCUGUAUUUUAUAUAAUAUUGUCAAUAGAUGUCGUUGCAGUCGUUAUCUCCAGUGCUACCGAUCACAUUGUGUCAUACCAUAUAGUGUUGGAAGGGGAAGAAUGACAUGCAAACCACCAGUGAAAUUUGUGAAGUUUACGGAGACGAUUCUAUAUCAGUUCGUGUAGCGCAACAAUGAUUCGCUAGCUACCGUUCUGGAAAUUUCGAUGUGAAAGAUGCACCUCGCUCUAGUCGACCUAUCGUUGCAAAAGUUGAUGAAAAUUUGGACAUGACAUCGCUAAGGAACUUAAAAUUCAUCAUCAAACGGUUUUGAACCAUUUAAAACAGCUACAAAAACAAGAUUGAUAUUUGGGUACCACAUGAAUUGUCUGUGAAAAAUUUAAUGGACCAAAUUAACAUCCGCAAUUCUUUGCUGAAAUGAAAUGAAAUCGAACCAUUUCUGAAGCGAAUGGUAACCGGAGAUGAAAAGUUGAUCAAAUACGACAAUGAUGUGCGAAAAAGAUCAUGGUCCAAGCGUGGUGAAGCUCAGCAAAUGGUCGCAAAGCCAGGAUUGACGCCUCGAAAGGUUAUGCUGAGUGUUAGGUGGGAUUGGAAAGGAAUCAUCCACUAUGAGCUGCUCUAGCAUGGUCAAACGAUUGAUUCUACAUUUUACUGUCAACAACUGAUGAGAUUAAAGCAAGCAAUCGAAAAACGCCCAGAACUGAUCAACAGAAAGGUCUUCAGUACAACGCUAGACCACACACAUCUUUGAUGACUCGGCAAAAAUUGGGAGAGCUUGGCUGGGAAGUUUUUAUGCAUCCACCAUAUAGCCUUGCACCAACGGACAAAAAUUUGUUUCGGUCAAUGCAGAACUUCCUUCAUGGAGUAAAGUUGGAGCCUGAGAAAAUUACUUGUCGCAGAAAGUGGUCGACCAAAAUGGCGCUCUUCUAUGGAACCUAAUGUAUGACGGGAUGCUAAGGAGACACCAACCAACAGCCGUUAAAUUAAUUGCAUACGUAGACGACCUUAUUGUGGUAGAAGUGGUUAAAAACAUAGAUGACCUCCGAAGCAAAUGCAAUGAGUGUAUCAGGGUGUUCGCCAAUGGUUCUCCUCAAUGAGUUUAGAACUGGUUGAGCAAAAGGCAGAAGUCUUACUCGUAAGUACCAGAAAAGUGGAGGAAAGUAUAUCUCUAAACAUAGGGGAGUGUGAGAUUCAUUCACAGCCACAACUAGAGUAUCUGGGAGUAAUAAUAAUAGACCCAAGGCUCAAAUUUAACGAUCAUCUGGAAUACACUGCACGUAAAGCGAAUAAAAUCGUAAACUCCUUAUCAAGAAUGAUGGCAAAUAAAGGCUGCGUGGUUCCAACUGGCGAUUUUUAAUCGCAAAGGUAAUGAGGUCGGUUGUAUUAUCUGCGGCUCCAUUAUGAAUCCAAGCGCUAAGUAUUAAAUAAUUUGCCAUACAAAUAAGCACAGUGCAAAGCUUGUCGGCGCUAAGAGCUAUCAGUGCUUUCUGAACAAUAUCAAGCGAUGCUACUGGAGUAAUAGCCAGUAUGAUGUCCACUGACAUCCAGGGUGACGAAUACGAGCGGCUACAAAAGUUAUCAGAGCCAUUUUUAAGAGCCAAAAGAGAAGAGAGAGGCAACAGCUUAACAAAAUGGCAGUAAACCUCACUCAAAGGACCGUGGAGCUAUUAGUGGAUAGACAGAUGACAUUUCCUCCUAACCCAAAUACUAAGUGGAUAUGGCUGCUUUAGAAGUUAACUAUACAGAUUCCAGCACGACAUUAGUCCGAAUUAGCCGACGUUUUCGUAGUGCUUUGAAGCUUUUUAAGUACAAGGGAAAAAUUUAAAACUACACUCGGUCGUACUUUUACGGUGGAAAAUUUGACGACACUGACACAGAACUGGAAAGCUGUCAGCGAAGCGGUAGCGUCAAUAUUGU